This 429-nucleotide ribosomal RNA is filed under the name bacterium. RNAcentral's name for it is "partial 16S ribosomal RNA". It matches the Rfam family "Bacterial small subunit ribosomal RNA", at positions 355 to 776 of the family's 1533-position model. The record is from RNAcentral.
UAGGGAAUCUUCGGCAAUGGGGGCAACCCUGACCGAGCAACGCCGCGUGAGUGAAGAAGGUUUUCGGAUCGUAAAGCUCUGUUGUAAGAGAAGAACGUGUGUGAGAGUGGAAAGUUCACACAGUGACGGUAACUUACCAGAAAGGGACGGCUAACUACGUGCCAGCAGCCGCGGUAAUACGUAGGUCCCGAGCGUUGUCCGGAUUUAUUGGGCGUAAGGCGAGCGCAGGCGGUUUAAUAAGUCUGAAGUUAAAGGCAGUGGCUUAACCAUUGUUCGCUUUGGAAACUGUUAAACUUGAGUGCAGAAGGGGAGAGUGGAAUUCCAUGUGUAGCGGUGAAAUGCGUAGAUAUAUGGAGGAACACCGGUGGCGAAAGCGGCUCUCUGGUCUGUAACUGACGCUGAGGCUCGAAAGCGUGGGGAGCAAACAGG